AUGUGCACGCCACAACCAACUGCUGGCCGCAUCCGGCUGAAUGUCGGCGGGCAGGUGUUCAAGACGACGGCUGACACACUCACAGGCGCAGGCGAGGGAACCAUGCUCGCCGCCAUGUUGGAACCCUGCUGGAACGCCGGCGCCACCGGGGGCGUGCCCGAGUACUUCAUCGACCGCAACCCGGCCUGCUUCGCCUUGCUCCUCAACAUGCUCCGCACGGGCGAGCUGCAUGUCCCGGCUGUCAUCCCGGAGCGGAUGCUCUUCCAAGAGGCGUCCUACUAUGGCCUCCUUGACCAUGUCCGCGCUGCUCGCAUCGGUGAGCUCAAUCUCGACAGGGCCAGUGGCUUGCCCGGCCGUCCGUGCGGCGCCAGACGGGGGUGUUGCGUCAAGCACAGCCCCAUCAUGCGGGUCUACAACUGGAUGCUCGAGGAGCGCCAGCCAGUCUGCCUCAUGCCUGUUGAGCCGGUCCGCGAUGCUGUCUACCUCAGCGACACCACGCUCCUCGUUGGGGGCCGCGGCAUGGCAGCUUUCUCUGUGCUCACCGGCGAUCUGAGUCACCACUUCCGCAUAGCGCACGAGGGCAAGAAGACGGCUCCGCUUUUUAACGCGAGGGCGCUGGCCUUUGACCAGCAAACAAACGUCUUUGCUAGCUGCAACAACUCGGGCAUAACUCAAGGAAUUGGCUACGGCAUCGGUGUUUGGGACUGCAUCACCGGCGAACAGACAAGCUCUUUCUUUGACCUGAAGUAUGUCGACGCUCUGACCGACGCCAGCAAGCUUCAGUGGCUGGCAAGCACCAACGCCCUCAUGGCUGUCAAGGCGUGCUCACCGAAAGAUGCUUUCUCGCCGUCUUCCAUCACUCUGGUGGAUUUCCGGGAUAUGAGUGUUGUGUGGUCAUGGUCUGCCGGCAGCCGGAGAUGGAACGAAAGGCGUGUUGCCGAUGCCGUCGUGAUGGAGGACGAGAGGUCGGUCCGCUUGAUCAGCCAGGACCAUGAUCUCGGGUUCCUCGACAUCCGUUCUCGGGGCUCUGUCCAGGAGCCGUGGACAUAUUGUAACACGACGACCCCGACGUGCUAUCCGAAGCUCGCCGUGCACGGCGGACUGCUCUUAGCGUCCAAGGAUGACAGCAUCUCGGUGUAUGGCGGCCCAAAUCAUGACCGCCUGAGGCUGGCGCUGCGUGGGAGCCAAGGCGGUGGCGCCAUUGCCGACUUCUCCGUUGGGGGCGACCGUCUCUUCGCGGUGCAUCAUGAGGACAACGUGCCGGAUGUGUGGGAGACACUGCCACCUCCCAUCGCCUAG
This 1299-nucleotide ribosomal RNA is filed under the name Triticum aestivum (bread wheat). RNAcentral's name for it is "partial small subunit ribosomal RNA". Lineage: Eukaryota; Viridiplantae; Streptophyta; Magnoliopsida; Poales; Poaceae. The record is from RNAcentral.